Molecule: ribosomal RNA, 253 nt
Filed under: uncultured bacterium
Lineage: Bacteria
Description: partial 16S ribosomal RNA
Rfam family: Bacterial small subunit ribosomal RNA
Source: RNAcentral
UACGGGGGGGGCAAGCGUUGUUCGGAAUUACUGGGCGUAAAGGGCUCGUAGGUUGCCAACUAAGUCAGACGUGAAAUCCCCAGGCUUAACCUGGGAACUGCGUCUGAUACUGGAUGGCUUGAAUUCGGGAGAGGGAUGCAGAAUUCCAGGUGUAGCGGUGAAAUGCGUAGAUAUCUGGAGGAAUACCGAUGGCGAAGGCGGCAUCCUGGACCGAGAUUGACACUGAUGAGCGAAAGCCAGGGGAGCAAACGGG